This 221-nucleotide ribosomal RNA is filed under the name uncultured bacterium. Its description in RNAcentral is "partial 16S ribosomal RNA". It matches the Rfam family "Bacterial small subunit ribosomal RNA", at positions 1277 to 1500 of the family's 1533-position model. The record is from RNAcentral.
UAAACGUCCCAGUUCGGACUGUAGUCUGCAACCCGACUACACGAAGCUGGAAUCGCUAGUAAUCGCGAAUCAGAAUGUCGCGGUGAAUACGUUCCCGGGUCUUGUACACACCGCCCGUCACACCAUGGGAGUCGGGAAUGCCCGAAGUCAGUGACCCAACCAUAUGGAGGGAGCUGCCGAAGGCAGGUCUGAUAACUGGGGUGAAGUCGUAACAAGGUAUC